Molecule: ribosomal RNA, 910 nt
Filed under: Escherichia coli
Lineage: Bacteria; Pseudomonadati; Pseudomonadota; Gammaproteobacteria; Enterobacterales; Enterobacteriaceae
Description: bacterial LSU rRNA
Rfam family: Bacterial large subunit ribosomal RNA
Source: RNAcentral
GGGUUGUGAGGUUAAGCGACUAAGCGUACACGGUGGAUGCCCUGGCAGUCAGAGGCGAUGAAGGACGUGCUAAUCUGCGAUAAGCGUCGGUAAGGUGAUAUGAACCGUUAUAACCGGCGAUUUCCGAAUGGGGAAACCCAGUGUGAUUCGUCACACUAUCAUUAACUGAAUUCAUAGGUUAAUGAGGCGAACCGGGGGAACUGAAACAUCUAAGUACCCCGAGGAAAAGAAAUCAACCGAGAUUCCCCCAGUAGCGGCGAGCGAACGGGGAGGAGCCCAGAGCCUGAAUCAGUGUGUGUGUUAGUGGAAGCGUCUGGAAAGGCGCGCGAUACAGGGUGACAGCCCCGUACACAAAAAUGCACAUGCUGUGAGCUCGAUGAGUAGGGCGGGACACGUGGUAUCCUGUCUGAAUAUGGGGGGACCAUCCUCCAAGGCUAAAUACUCCUGACUGACCGAUAGUGAACCAGUACCGUGAGGGAAAGGCGAAAAGAACCCGGCGAGGGAGUGAAAAAGAACCUGAAACCGUGUACGUACAAGCAGUGGGAGCCUCUUUAUGGGGUGACUGCGUACCUUUUGUAUAAUGGGUCAGCGACUUAUAUUCUGUAGCAAGGUUAACCGAAUAGGGGAGCCGAAGGGAAACCGAGUCUUAACUGGGCGUUAAGUUGCAGGGUAUAGACCCGAAACCCGGUGAUCUAGCCAUGGGCAGGUUGAAGGUUGGGUAACACUAACUGGAGGACCGAACCGACUAAUGUUGAAAAAUUAGCGGAUGACUUGUGGCUGGGGGUGAAAGGCCAAUCAAACCGGGAGAUAGCUGGUUCUCCCCGAAAGCUAUUUAGGUAGCGCCUCGUGAACUCAUCUCCGGGGGUAGAGCACUGUUUCGGCAAGGGGGUCAUCCGACUUACCAACCCGA